CUAAUCGAAUCUUUCCCUUCGGGGACAGAAGUGACAGGUGGUGCAUGGUUGUCGUCAGCUCGUGUCGUGAGAUGUUGGGUUAAGUCCCGCAACGAGCGCAACCCUUGCCUUUAUUGCCAGCAUUAAGUUGGGCACUCUAGAGGGACUGCCAGGAUAACCUGGAGGAAGGUGGGGAUGACGUCAAAUCAUCAUGCCCCUUAUGCUUAGGGCUACACACGUGCUACAAUGGGUGGUACAGAGGGCAGCCAAGUCGUGAGGCCNGAGCUAAUCCCUUAAAGCCAUUCUCAGUUCGGAUUGUAGGCUGAAACUCGCCUACAUGAAGCUGGAGUUACUAGUAAUCGCAGAUCAGAAUGCUGCGGUGAAUGCGUUCCCGGGUCU
RNAcentral lists this ribosomal RNA (378 nucleotides) under uncultured bacterium. RNAcentral's name for it is "bacterial SSU rRNA". It matches the Rfam family "Bacterial small subunit ribosomal RNA", at positions 1002 to 1381 of the family's 1533-position model. The record is from RNAcentral.